GACGAACGCUGGCGGCGUGCUUAACACAUGCAAGUCGAACGGAAAGGCCUGCUUUCCCUUGUGGAUUGCGGGUACUCGAGUGGCGAACGGGUGAGUAACACGUGAGUGAUCUGCCCCCAACUUGGGUAUAAGCCUGGGAAACUGGGUCUAAUUCCCGAUAGGACUGCAGGGUGGUGCCUGUGGUGGAAAACGAUUUUCUAGUGGUUGGGGAUGAGCUCGCGGCCUAUCAGCUUGUUGGUGGGGUAAUGGCCUACCAAGGCGGCGACGGGUAGCCGGCCUGGGAGGGUGGACGGGCACAUGGGGACGGAGAUACGGCCCAGACUCCUACGGGAGGCAGCAGUGGGGAAUAUUGCACAAUGGGCGGAAGCCUGAUGCAGCGACGCCGCGUGGGGGAUGACGGGCUUCGGGUUGUAAACUCCUUUCGACCGCGAGGAAGCCACCUGGUUGGAAGGGUGGUGACGGUAGUGGGAGAAGAAGCACCGGCUAACUACGUG
RNAcentral lists this ribosomal RNA (494 nucleotides) under uncultured bacterium. RNAcentral's name for it is "partial 16S ribosomal RNA". It matches the Rfam family "Bacterial small subunit ribosomal RNA", at positions 28 to 507 of the family's 1533-position model. The record is from RNAcentral.